RNAcentral lists this non-coding RNA (105 nucleotides) under Proboscia alata. The record is from RNAcentral. Lineage: Eukaryota; Bacillariophyta; Melosirophyceae; Probosciales; Probosciaceae.
AACCGUCCACCACGGCCUUUCCACUCUCCAUCUUCAGUUCCUCUAACGAUCAAUUCGAAACGAUCAAUCAUCCGGGGUAUCAAUCGGUCGGUCAAACCGUUCCCA